RNAcentral lists this ribosomal RNA (1359 nucleotides) under uncultured bacterium. Its description in RNAcentral is "bacterial SSU rRNA". It matches the Rfam family "Bacterial small subunit ribosomal RNA", at positions 27 to 1371 of the family's 1533-position model. The record is from RNAcentral.
GGAUGAACGCUAGCGACAGGCUUAACACAUGCAAGUCGAGGGGCAGCGGUGGUGAAGGCUUGCCUUUACCAGCCGGCGACCGGCGCACGGGUGAGUAACACGUAUGCAACCUGCCUGCCACAGCCGGAUAAUCGGGAGAAAUUCCGUCUAAUACGGCAUAAUGCACCUAUGGGACAUCCUGUUGGUGCCAAAGGUUGAUUCCGGUGGCGGAUGGGCAUGCGUCGCAUUAGUUAGUUGGCGGUGUAACGGACCACCAAGACGACGAUGCGUAGGGGUUCUGAGAGGAAGGUCCCCCACACUGGUACUGAGACACGGACCAGACUCCUACGGGAGGCAGCAGUGAGGAAUAUUGGUCAAUGGGCGGGAGCCUGAACCAGCCAAGUCGCGUGAGGGAUGACGGCCCUAUGGGUUGUAAACCUCUUUUGCCGGGGAGCAAAGUGCCGCACGUGUGCGGUUUGGAGAGUACCCGGAGAAAAAGCAUCGGCUAACUCCGUGCCAGCAGCCGCGGUAAUACGGAGGAUGCGAGCGUUAUCCGGAUUUAUUGGGUUUAAAGGGUGCGUAGGCGGACGCUUAAGUCAGCGGUAAAAUUGCGGGGCUCAACCUCGUCGAGCCGUUGAAACUGGGUGCCUUGAGUGGGCGAGAAGUACGCGGAAUGCGUGGUGUAGCGGUGAAAUGCAUAGAAUAUCACGCAGAACUCCGAUUGCGAAGGCAGCGUACCGGCGCCCAACUGACGCUGAAGCACGAAGGCGUGGGUAUCGAACAGGAUUAGAUACCCUGGUAGUCCACGCAGUAAACGAUGAAUGCUAGUUGUCCGGGGCGAUUGAGUUCUGGGUGACACAGCGAAAGCGUUAAGCAUUCCACCUGGGGAGUACGCCGGCAACGGUGAAACUCAAAGGAAUUGACGGGGGCCCGCACAAGCGGAGGAACAUGUGGUUUAAUUCGAUGAUACGCGAGGAACCUUACCCGGGCUCAAACGCAGGAGGGAUGUUUUUGAAAGGAGGCAGCCAGCAAUGGUCUCCUGCGAGGUGCUGCAUGGUUGUCGUCAGCUCGUGCCGUGAGGUGUCGGCUUAAGUGCCAUAACGAGCGCAACCCCUACCUACAGUUGCCAUCGCGUGAUGGCGGGCACUCUGUGGGGACUGCCUGCGCAAGCAGUGAGGAAGGCGGGGAUGACGUCAAAUCAGCACGGCCCUUACGUCCGGGGCGACACACGUGUUACAAUGGCAGGUACAGCGGGAAGCCACCCGGCGACGGGGCGCGGAACCCGAAAACCUGUCUCAGUUCGGAUUGGAGUCUGCAACCCGACUCCAUGAAGCUGGAUUCGCUAGUAAUCGCGCAUCAGCCACGGCGCGGUGAAUACGU